RNAcentral lists this RNase P RNA (462 nucleotides) under Candidatus Niyogiibacteriota bacterium. RNAcentral describes it as "Candidatus Niyogibacteria bacterium RNase P RNA component class A". It matches the Rfam family "Bacterial RNase P class A". Rfam says of the family: Ribonuclease P (RNase P) is a ubiquitous endoribonuclease, found in archaea, bacteria and eukarya as well as chloroplasts and mitochondria. The record is from RNAcentral. Lineage: Bacteria; Candidatus Niyogiibacteriota.
GUUGCGCGUUGAAUGGUCGCGGGGCACAGUCUUGUGUCCCGAGGAAAGUCCGAACACUACAUUGAAAUUCAUUUUUAAUGUGUAAGCGAUGGAUAACAUCCAUCGGCCCGGCAGUAAUGCCGGGCUAGGGAAAGUGCCACAGAGACGAUACUAGUUUGCGAAGCAAACUAACCCUGAAUAAGUUCGCCGAAGGCGAACGCAUUGAAGGGCAACCCUUCGACUGUGCUCAGGGUGGUUCUUCCGAACCAAAGGUGAAAAGUCUGCGAGUGUCUUUAUGUCCAUUUUGGGCUCUAUGGCUAUCGCAGUUCGCAAUAAAGUAAUUUAUUGCUGAUGGCAAACCCCGUUUGGUGCAAGGCCGUAUCCGCCUCAUAGGCGGAGGUGCCGCUUGAUUCCAUAAAGUAAUUUAUGGAACAGAUAAAUGACCAUCUAAAACAGAAUUCGGCUUACGGACGCGCAGCCGAA